RNAcentral lists this unclassified non-coding RNA (2530 nucleotides) under Hevea brasiliensis (rubber tree). Lineage: Eukaryota; Viridiplantae; Streptophyta; Magnoliopsida; Malpighiales; Euphorbiaceae. The record is from RNAcentral.
CGGAAGGAAAAUUUUUGUCAUUUACUGUGGAAAAUAAGGAAGUUUCAAACUCCAAAAUGUUCUGUUUCUCUUGCUCUAAACAAACGAAAGACCCAAAAAUUUUGGACCAUGUCCUGCACAAUUCUCAUCCUAUGUUUCUUCCUGAAGCUCGGAUCUUCAGAAAGCAGCAUUCAAGAUGGAUUUUUGUUCAAUGGUUACUUCAAGUUUGGUGACAGCGCAGAGCUAAACAAUUCCAACAUGUUCUCUCAAGUAAUAUAUGCUGAUAGUGGGCUUAGCAAAGCAAACCAAGUCUUCUAUAACCAUCCUUUCAAAUUCAAAAACUCACCCACUGGUUCUGCCUUCUCCUUCUCCACUACCUUCAUUGUUGCAGUAGUAGCCAAGGACCCUGAAUUCAACGGCCAUGGACUUGCCUUCGCUAUCUCGCCAUCGAAAGGUAUUCCUGGUGCCUUACCAAAUCAGCAUCUUGGCCUUUUUAAUGCAUCUAACAAUGGAAAUAGUUCAAAUCAUGUAGUUGCAGUGGAGCUUGACACAGACCAAGAUUUUCAAUUUAAUGACAUAGAUGAUAACCAUCUGGGUAUUGAUAUUAAUGGGUUAAUGUCGGUUCAAUCUGCUACUGCUGGUUACCAUGAUGAGCAUGGGCGUUUCAAACAGCUAUAUCUCAAAAGUGGAAAACUAAUUCAGGUCUGGGUUGAAUAUGAGAGCUUGAAUCAACGGCUUAAUGUCACAAUACAUCCAACAACAAUACCUAAACCCGUGCUUCCACUUUUAUCCUUGACAAAAGAUCUUUCCCCUUAUUUCUUUGAGGUUAUGUAUGUUGGCUUCUCAUCUGCUGGUGGGUCUAAAUCUUCUCACUAUAUCUUCGGUUGGAGUUUCAGGAUGAAUGGUCAAGCCGACGAGAUUAACCUGUCUACCCUUCCUGAUAUUCCUGGUGUUACAAGAGACAAUGAAGGGGAUGCAGGGGAUGGAUAUAGAAAAGUGCAGAAGAUUUUGGCAGUUGUAUUAUCUUUAGUUGGGGUUAUUUUUCUUCUACUCUUGAUUUUUGGAGCACUUAUGAUUUCAAGGAGGAGAAAAUUCAUUCAGGUGCUUGAGGAUUGGGAAAUGCUAUAUGGACCUCACAGGUUCUCCUAUAAGGACCUAUUUAUUGCCACAAAAGGCUUCAGACAAAGACAACUUCUUGGAAAAGGAGGUUUUGGCAGGGUAUAUAGAGGCAUUCUACCAUUCUCAAAUGUUCAAAUUGCAGUGAAGAGAAUUUCUCAUGAUUCCAGGCAGGGAAUGAGAGAAUUCGUAGCUGAAAUUGCAACCAUUGGCCGUCUCAGGCACCCGAACUUGGUUCGACUUCUGGGAUAUUGCAGGCGCAAGAAUGAACUUUUCUUAGUUUAUGACUAUAUGCCUAAUGGAAGUCUUGAUAAGUUCCUUUAUCAAUUACCCAAUUGCAUACUGAACUGGAAACAAAGAUUCAAAAUCAUCAAAGAUGUGGCAUCUGCACUUUUCUAUCUGCACCAACAAUGGGUUCAAGUUAUAAUCCAUAGAGACAUCAAACCUGCGAAUGUACUCAUCGAUGAACAGAUGAAUGCCAGGCUAGGAGAUUUUGGGCUUGCUAGGUUAUGUGACCACGGAAACGCUCCUCAAACCUCUCAUGUAGCUGGGACUCCAGGUUAUAUUGACCCUGAGAUUGUGCAGAGUGGAAAAUCAACGACAUGUACUGAUAUAUACGCAUUUGGGGUGUUUAUGCUUGAGGUUACUUGUGGUAGAAAGCCUGUGGAUCCUCAAGCUUCCUUGGAGAAAGUAGUGUUGAUAGAUUGGGUAAUGAAUUGUUGGGAUAGAGGAGCAAUUUUGGAGGCAGUUGAUUGCAAACUAGGAGAUGAUUAUGUGUUGCAUGAAACUGAAUUGGUUUUGAAGCUUGGAUUGCUUUGUUCACAUCCAGUGGCUGCAGGUAGGCCAAGCAUGUCUAGCGUAGUACAAUUCUUGGAUGGAGCUGCUCAGUUGCCUGAAAGUCUAAGUUCUAUGAUUAAAUCUCGAGAUUUUGGUGACAACUCUGGUCAAGGAGGUGUAGCUUAUGAUGAAUUCCCUUCUGGAAAUGUUACCAUUGCUUCAUUGACAUUUACAGAGUCAUUUGCCUCUGAUGGACGUUAAUAUGGUAUGGAUUUAUUCUGUGGGAAACUAUUGCUUAGACCUUGUUCACUGUGGAUUCAAAUACAACAUAUAAAUAAUUACUGAGGCCAUAGAUCAUUUGUCUUGGGUUCAUGGUGAGCCGAGUCAAGGUAAGAAAAAUCCUUUAUAUUGCUACUAAUCAUACUAUACUAACAAGAAUAAUCAAUGAGUUGCAACACAGGUGAAUUUUAAAAUGGCUGUCUCCUGUUUGUCCACUUUGCUCUUUCAUUAUUAAUGUUUUGUUGAGAAAAAUUAAUUUAGGAUAAUUUCACUUAGACUUGUUUAUUAUGAAUUUAAAAUAUAAAUAUGUGACUCAUAUUAUACAUGUUGUAUCUUGUAUUCAUAAUUGUUAAAUUUGUGACUUAAAAUCUUAGUGGAU